RNAcentral lists this ribosomal RNA (1057 nucleotides) under Bacillus cereus. Its description in RNAcentral is "partial 16S ribosomal RNA". It matches the Rfam family "Bacterial small subunit ribosomal RNA", at positions 296 to 1347 of the family's 1533-position model. Lineage: Bacteria; Bacillati; Bacillota; Bacilli; Caryophanales; Bacillaceae. The record is from RNAcentral.
GAGGGGUGAUCGUCACMCUGGACUGAGACACGGCCCAGACUCCUACGGAGGCAGCAGUAGGAAUCUCCGCAAUGGACGAAAGUCUGACGGAGCAACGCCGCGUGAGUGAUGAAGGYUUUCGGRUCGUAAAGCUCUGUUGUUAGGGAAGAACAAGURCURKUYGAAUAAGGCYGGYACCUUGACGGUACCUAACCCAGAAAGCCACGGCUAACUACGUGCCAGCAGCCGCGGUAAUACGUAGGUGGCAAGCGUURUCCGGAAUUAUUGGGCGUAAAGSGCKCGCAGGYGGUUUCUUAAGUCUGAUGUGAAAGCCCMCGGCUCAACCGKGGAGGGUCAUUGGAAACUGGGRRACUUGAGUGCAGAAGAGGARAGUGGAAUUCCAYGUGUAGCGGUGAAAUGCGUAGAGAURUGGAGGAACACCAGUGGCGAAGGCGACUYUCUGGUCUGUAACUGACRCUGAGGMGCGAAAGCGUGGGGAGCRAACAGGAUUAGAUACCCUGGUAGUCCACGCCGUAAACGAUGAGUGCUAAGUGUUAGRGGGUUUCCGCCCUUUAGUGCUGMAGYUAACGCAUUAAGCACUCCGCCUGGGGAGUACGGYCGCAAGRCUGAAACUCAAAGGAAUUGACGGGGGCCCGCACAAGCGGUGGAGCAUGUGGUUUAAUUCGAAGCAACGCGAAGAACCUUACCAGGUCUUGACAUCCUCUGACAAYCCUAGAGAUAGGRCKUCYCCUUCGGGAGCAGAGUGACAGGUGGUGCAUGGUUGUCGUCAGCUCGUGUCGUGAGAUGUUGGGUUAAGUCCCGCAACGAGCGCAACCCUUGAUCUUAGUUGCCAKCAUUMAGUUGGGCACUCUAAGGUGACUGCCGGUGACAAACCGGAGGAAGGUGGGGAUGACGUCAAAUCAUCAUGCCCCUUAUGACCUGGGCUACACACGUGCUACAAUGGACAGWACAAAGAGCWGCRARACCGCGAGGUGRAGCCAAUCYCAYAAAUCYGUUCUCAGUUCGGAUYGYAGKCUGCAACUCGCCURCRUGAAGCUGGAAUCGCUAGUAAUCGCGG